UAUACGAUAUAUUAUGCACCAAAUUUUAUCGCUCGAUUACACCCUAAAUUUUGCUCUGAGAAAAAUCAUAAGGAAGAAAGAAUUUUUUUUGAUGCUGAAAAGGAUGUAGUUUUUGUUAUUCUGAUACGACUUAUAUAGAGAAGUCGAUCCAAGGUUAAACGGUAAGAAAACAGUAAUAUAAUCGUGAAGAAUCAGAGAUGCAUAUGUGUAAAAGAGUGCCCUUUUGAGAAUGUUUUACGGUUAGGCUCACGAUGGGAGUUGGUGGCAGUUUUGCGAGCUAGAAAUCAAUUCUUCUUUGGAAACAGGGCUUUUGACUUGGCCUCUGUUUCAAGAUAAGUGUUUGGAGAUGUGGUGGAGUUCACUAGAAUUCAGGAUAAACCAGGGACCAAAUCUGUAUUCACUCGGACUGCACAACUCUCGUUCAUUAAUGUCCCUUGUAUUUCAGUGGGUAGAGAAGAAUGUAUGUGAAGAGUUCCAGUGGGCUUGUAAAUAUGGAGUUACAUGGCUGCAAGGAAAUCAUUAUGAGAACUUGACUGCUCAGAAAAUGGAAUGUGUAAGUUUUGUUUGUAUACCAAGCCCAACAAUGAAUGAGUACAAAAUACACAAACCAAUGGAUUUCUUAAGAUAUGGUGUUUUGAGGAAUAACCGCUUUAACGGUCUUCUACAACUUAUGUCAAGCUGUCUCAGUCGACCAAAGCCAAUAAAUAAGGCUUCUAUACACUUGGUUCAAGAGCAGAUUAGAUCAAGAAGAUUGAGGCACAAACAAAUUAGGAAUUAGUGAGAGUUUAUGAGGGUUGCAAAAGAGUGUCUUGUGUGUUUGAUCAAGAGCUCUCAUGUGAGAUAUGAUGUAAACGAAACUUUUGAUUCCAUGUACUUCAAAUUGUUGUACUGUUCUUGCUGAUUGAUCAAUAAAGACUCAGGACAAACUAAGUGUUUUCUGCCCAAACUAAGUGUAUCACCAUUCUUGGUUUGUGUCUUGUAAUCUGUCUGUAACUCUUGGUUAAUUAAUAGAAUUAAUCCCUCUUGCAUA
Molecule: long non-coding RNA, 1030 nt
Organism: Cannabis sativa
Lineage: Eukaryota; Viridiplantae; Streptophyta; Magnoliopsida; Rosales; Cannabaceae
Exons: 2
Source: RefSeq, a predicted model, not a curated record